AACGAACGCUGGCGGCAGGCCUAACACAUGCAAGUCGAGCGAGCAUUUCGGUGCUAGCGGCGGACGGGUGAGUAACGCGUGGGAACGUGCCCUUUUCUGCGGAAUAGUCCUGGGAAACUGGGGGUAAUACCGCAUACGCCCUUUUGGGGAAAGAUUUAUCGGAGAAGGAUCGGCCCGCGUUGGAUUAGGUAGUUGGUGGGGUAAUGGCCCACCAAGCCGACGAUCCAUAGCUGGUUUGAGAGGAUGAUCAGCCACACUGGGACUGAGACACGGCCCAGACUCCUACGGGAGGCAGCAGUGGGGAAUCUUAGACAAUGGGGGCAACCCUGAUCUAGCCAUGCCGCGUGAGUGAUGAAGGCCUUAGGGUUGUAAAGCUCUUUCAGCUGGGUAGAUAAUGACGGUACCAGCAGAAGAAGCCCCGGCUAACUCCGUG
RNAcentral lists this ribosomal RNA (433 nucleotides) under uncultured bacterium. RNAcentral describes it as "partial 16S ribosomal RNA". It matches the Rfam family "Bacterial small subunit ribosomal RNA", at positions 29 to 507 of the family's 1533-position model. The record is from RNAcentral.